Molecule: unclassified non-coding RNA, 200 nt
Filed under: soil metagenome
Description: partial contains internal transcribed spacer 2 and large subunit ribosomal RNA
Source: RNAcentral
GUCAUUUCAACCCUUAAGCCUAGCUUAGUGUUGGCUAUCUACUGUAUUGUAGUGGCCUAAAUACAACGGCGGAUCUGUGGUAUCCUCUGAGCGUAGUAAUUUUUUUCUCGCUUUUGUUAGGUGCUGCAGCCCUCGGCCGCUAAACCCCCCAAUUUUUAAUGGUUGACCUCGGAUCAGGUAGGGAUACCCGCUGAACUUAA